Molecule: long non-coding RNA, 5548 nt
Filed under: Solanum lycopersicum (tomato)
Lineage: Eukaryota; Viridiplantae; Streptophyta; Magnoliopsida; Solanales; Solanaceae
Description: long non-coding RNA (SLYC_LNC000012)
Source: RNAcentral
CAGGUACGAAUUUUUCUUCAUAUUUCUUGAACUCUUUAAUAGAUCUAUAUGGAUCUUCUUGCUUGCAUGUUACUUAUAAUUCAAAAUACAAAAAAAAUAUUUGUUGCAUUGAUUUUUAUGCUUCAAAUAUCAAAAAUUAAGAUCUGCACCAAAGAUCAAAUUGAAUUUUCUUCAAAUAUCUCUUUGUUUGAUUGUUGACUCUGCAUGCAAGCUCCAAAUUGUGAAUUCAGAUUUUGAGUCAAAAAUUGAUUGAAAAUGCUUGAUGAAUCUUCAUGUAACUGCAUAUUUGAUAUAGAAAAAAAAACAUAUCAAGAUUAGUAUAUGUAUGAAUACAAUAAUAAACAAUGAAAAAAUUAUUUAACUAAUUAAAGAGAAAACAAACUUCAAAACUUAAUCUCUUAGAUUCAUGUUGUAUUUGUUGCAUUGAGACUGAUUGCAUGUCAAAAUUUACUGUUUUUUCAUGUUUUUGUCUUGUUUUGCUUUUGAAUGUCACCUGUGAUGUCUUUUUAUUUUUUUCUCACCUUUUGGCUUCAUUCUUGAAUAUCCAUUUCCCUUUUCUUUUUUCUUAAUUGGAUCCACAAUUCGAUCCUUGGCCCCAAUUAAAGGAUCAACAAAUGAAUCAAAUUUGUGUCUGUUUUGUCACAAUUUUCACCAUACAAUUCACUUUGAUGCUUAGUAAUCUCAACUCUUGCUUGGUAUAAAUACCUUCUAGCAAUUUCUUCCGAAUCUAUAUCAUUUUCAGAUAAAGUCAUGACAGUAAAUGAUUUUUUCAUUAACUCGUUCAAACAAACUUCCAUAGAAGAUUUUGUUGUUCCCUUCUUUUUGGAGUACUCCGCAAAUCCUUUCUCAUGUUUAGCAUUCUUAGACCAUCUUUUCAAAAUGUAUUUCUCCGGAAUAGAAGUAAAAUUCAAUUCAAAGAACAAAAUAACCACUUGUUUUAUUGUAUAAAAAUGCACAUCCAAAGAAAGUAUUUUUCCAGUGGUUAUUCACACCAACAAAUGGAGCACAAAUCAUGUCAUAUCUAUUUGUACGAUAAGUAGUGUAAAAAAUCAUCACAUCUCCAAACACUCGUAGUGCAAUUUAGAUAUACUAUCUCUCCAAAAGAAAUUACACAAUCUGCCAUCUUCGUCAACUUGAAAAAAAUAAAAAAAGUUUGAAUCCUUUGAUUGUAAAUGCAUAAAAUGAUUUAUCAUGGUUUGAGCAUCUCCACCACUUAUCAUAUUCCUUUUAUGUGCUUGUAUAAAGUUACGAGCAUCUUGUUCAAUAAAUCCCGCAUUUUCAAUUCCACCAGCUUCGUUAUGAAGGUAUCUAACCACUUUUUUUGUUCGAAUACUGACAUCCACCAUAGAACCAAGAAUACUUUUAGUAGCACUUUUAAGCUUACGACCCGAUUGUAUGAAACAGUUCAAAUUAUCUUCUAUCAUUGGAUGACUAUGCACAUCAUUGAAUUCACAUACUUCCCACAUUCCAUUUGAAAUUUUGAAUUUUAUACGAGCCAUGCAACCACAUCUAUAUUCUAAUCUCUGUCGUUUCCUUUCUUGAAAAAGGGAAAGAUUAUCAGAUUUUCCUUUACAAGCACAAAGAAAUAACCGUCUAGUUACUUCUUUAUUUAUGUUGUAAGUCUUUGCACUUUUUCGAACACCGAAACCUUUGGCUAGAGCACAUGAAUUAUAUGCAUUGUAAGAUUCUUCUUCAGAAUUAAAUUUCAUACAAAUCUCAAAAGCAAAGUUCUUGUUAAUGCUAUAAACAUUAUUUGCUUUUGUAGAAUAUUCGUUGUCGUUAAUAUUGGAUCUACAAUAAUAAUUUUAUUUUUUGAGUAUCAAAACAUAAGAAAUAGAUAAAAAUAUAAAAAUUUACUUAAUAGAGAACCUUCACACUCGAAUUAAGAAAAUAUCAUAUAAAUAAAGUGUAUUACCUUCUUGAAGAGAAGACCCUUUAUCAAUAUGUAUGUCCUCCAUUUUUUAAAAUUUAAAGCAAAAUCUGCACAAGAAACAAAUUAUAUUAUUAAGAAAUUAUAUUUUUCAAAUAUUACCUUAGCACAUAAAAUUAUUAAAACAUGUCUUUUAUUUUACUAUACAUUUCAAAUUUAAUUUAAUAUUAUGUGAUCACCAUUAAAUUUGAAUGUAAAUUUUUUUGAAAUUACUAAUACUAAUAUUUUAUAUGACAGGAACUUUCUAUCAAGCAUGAAGAUCAUUUAUGAUAACAAUGAAUGAUGCACAAAAGUUUACAUAGAUAAUCGUGUCACACAAUCUUGAGCAUUUUGAAAAAGAUAAUGCAACAUUCUAUUUUCAAGAUAUGUAUAAAAUAUAUUUAUCUAUAUGUAAAAUGAGGAUUAUCAAUAAACAACUUUUUAUUUUAUUUAAAGUUUUCGUAAAAAAAUGUAAUAUCAUUGGACAAAUAAAAGAAUUUUGAGAGCAAAAAUAGUAAAAGAAAUGGUUCAUAGAUAUGUAUAUUUUGUAACCUUACUUGAACAAAAUUUAAACGAGAAUAAAGGAUCAUAGAUGGUGUAAUUUUAUUUUAGAGCAACAAUGUCGUAUUUUUAUCUUAGGGCUUUUACUUAUUUGUAGGCAAAGAUCAUAAUUUAAGGAGGGAAAAUAGUACUUUCUUUCCCUCCAUUUUUAUUGUACUAUAUAAAUGUUUAUUUUUAUUAUUUUUAUUUUGUUUCGUUUGACUUUAUUUGCAAAGUACACAUAUUGACCCACAAUCCAUGUGUCAAAAAAUGGGUGGAGCCUCAUUCAACUUUGGUUGGUUGGACCUCUACUACCAUAAAAUUUUUCUAAGGUACACAAUUAAUUGAUUUUACUUCUCUAACAUAGGUAUCAGAGUCAUUUUCAUGUCAUGAGGCUACCCUCUAAACGUAACACGAGACGUAGGAUCACAAGUGCGCCUAAGUUGACCCUAAGUCUGGCGAAUCAUAAGCAUACUGAAAAAUAACUAAAAAAGCGGAAGCAUAACUAAUAAUUGAGUCAAAACUAUGCACUCUAAAAGAAAAUAAACCUGAACAUUUCAUGGGAAUUCAACCCCAAAUAAUUGAAUACAAACACUAUAUCUAAAAGCUUUUACUACUGAUGAUCCGCUAGGACAAGUCCCCGACUAACUCUAAAAUAAUACUAAAAAUAGUGAAAGUAACUAAAUAAACCAAGCAUAAUGAAAUGUCCUCAAACUAUGAGGAUUCACCACUAAAUCUAUUGAAUUUAAGUUGAUAGUCGAACUAAGCGUGAUCUAGAUGCUGAGUGCCUGAGCCUACAUCAUGAGAAAAUGCAUGGAAAGUAUGUGUUAGUACUUGAAAUAUACUAAGUAUACAUGAUAUAGAUACUAAGCUGGACAGUGAUAUAAUUGAGCAAUAUAAUAAUGAAUAUGAAAAUACUCUACGGAAGUUUAACUGAAAUCUAAGCUAAAUGCAAUGACUAAGUACUAAUCAUGUAACUAUUAUGCGAAACUGAAUGUUUAAGUGAAUGCUAAUUAUAACAUGGUCAAUGCAAUAAGAGUAUGACUGUGGAAGUUACUAUUAACCAAUAUAAACCACGUGAGCUAAAACGUGGAGUUCGAUGUAUAUGCCUCAUUAAGAGACCUAAUAUACCUUUUCAGGGGUAUAAAUGCAUGACUUGACGUGAUCACUAACAAUGAUGCCUAACAGAGGGGACUUAUGAACCUACAUUUGUACGUAAUUCUAUAACUGUAAGGGUAUGUUGAAUCGUAGUCCAACUUUGUGCUAAGACUACUCUCAAUUUAAUGAAAAGCUAAAAUGCACUGAAAUACAAAAUAAUUUAAAAUCUGACAUGCUAUCUAGAAAUGCACACAAUUAUACUUAAAGUAAUGACAUUUAAUUUCUAAAGCAUGAUUUUCUGAUUGAUCUGCCUAGAAAGUAUAAUUCAUGAGUUGAUAAUUGAUACAAACUAGGGUUCUAAAUUCUAUAUAUGCAAAUUGCAUUAAUUAUCAAGAAUCAUGUUAUUUAAAUUAUGGGAAUUAUAGCAAUUAAAAUCACAAUAAAUCUUUAAAAUCUGGUAACCCUAAGUCUGAACAGUUUAUGAGAAAUUGAUGAACUGGCUGAAUUCUAGGGACCUAAUGGGUGAAAGGAACUCACUAGUGAAAUUCCACAUACAUAGUGACGAAUCUUCGAAGAACAUUCCUGCUUGGUCUUGGGAGAAACAAUCAACUUUUCCCCCUUUUUUUUCGCUCUAAGUUGGGUGUUUUUUUGAAGAAUGAGAAUUUUGACUAUUAUCUGACUAGAUUAUUAGGCUUGCACUGAGUAAAACGACAUAGUUUAGACAUCAAACAACUUAGUUUAAGUGCCAAUGCAUAGAAAAAAUCAAAGUGACCCUGACAUAAAUGUUGUCGAAGUGACUUCAAGACAAGCUUCACGAGUUGUCAUGAUGACCAAGGCCCGUCUAGCCAAUCGUGAAGAUGUCUUGUCCAAUAGGGCUUCACUAAAAUGAGUAUAACUACUUACAAUGUACUUAGAUUUUAACAAACUCGGUAACAUUGGAAAGAAGGUUUAGAGAUCUUUAAUUUGAAAGGUCAUGGGUCAAUUUACAUAAUAAUGUAGAAUUCACAACAAAAAAAAUUGUGAUACAAUAUCAGCAAUGAAUCAAUGUCUUUCAAACUGUUCUCAACAUAUCACACUCCAAUAAUUAGUCAUAUUGCUUUUUUAUCACCCCUUUUUCAUUGUUUGAAUUAUUCAAUAUGGAAAACUCAACCCAUCACCAAGUCUCAUUACUCUCAAACACAUACUACAAGGAAAUACAAGAUUCUAUACACUUAACAACGACUUAAAAAUCUACUUGCCUCAAUCAAUUGAAUAGGACUUGAAUCUUCCCCCUUCAUAAAACUUUAAAUUGCUUUUAAUCUAUCAAAUAUAUAGUCCUCGUAAGAAUACGAAUCUAAUGACACUCAUAUUACUAUAUGUAGUAUCGGUUUGAAAAAUUAGAUCAAAAAAUCAUCCCGAGCCAUCAAAUUUUAAUCUUAAAUUUUCUUUUAGAUUACGUUCACCAAUAGUAAAACAAAUUCGUAUGCAAAAUUUCAGCUAAAACAGAUCGUUAUUCGACCUCUAAAUCAAGAUUUUGUUCAAAUAACUUUAGGGUUAUAUUUUCUUAUUUAGCCCAAAGUUUACACGUUUACAUCCUAAAAAUCUAUUGAUACUCACAUAAAAGUUUUAUGAAAUUGAUAAGAAUCAUUACCUUAAGCUUUGGGAUGAAAAUCCAAUUUUUAUCUUCCUUUUUCCUAUUCUUUUCUUCCUUACUCUUCUUUUCUUCUACAUCGUAUUUUGUCCUCUAUUCGUUCAUGUUGAUUUCCCCCUCUGUAGUUGACUUUCAACAAAUAGGCCUUUGCCCUUAUUUUAUUUAUUUAUUUAUUUAUUUAUUAUUAUUAGUAGUAGUAUUAUUGUUCCUUUUUCUUUAUGGGAAAAAAGUCUGAUAUACCCCUCAACUUUGUCAUUUAGAGUUGAUAUAUCUCUUGUUAUGAAAGUGACUAAUAUAUACCUCUACACAUAUACCCUUUUCUUCUAACGGAAAUGAAAAAAAAAUUAAUUUAAAUUUUUAUUUUUUUUUCU